Molecule: long non-coding RNA, 1229 nt
Filed under: Homo sapiens (human)
Lineage: Eukaryota; Metazoa; Chordata; Mammalia; Primates; Hominidae
Description: HSALNT0229320
Source: RNAcentral
UUUGAGACCACCCUAGGGAGACCCUCGUCUCCCUAGUCAUUAAAAAAAAAAAAAUUAGCUGGGCACAGUGACUGUAGUCCCAGCUACUCGGGAGGCUGAGGUGGGAGGAUCACUCGAGCCCAGGAGUUUGAAGCUACGUCAGUUAUGAUUGAGCCACUGCACUCCAGCCUGGGCAACAGAGCAAGACCCUGUCUCAAAACCAACAAACAAAUGAAAAAAAAAAUGAGAGCUCGAGAGAGAGAGAGAUGUUGGCCAUUGAAAGAGCUACUCUGGAGCUUGGUGGCACAUGUGACCCAAGAUUAGCCAAUCAGGGCAUCACACUCCCCAGGCCAUGGUGACUGGUUCAGGAGUGGGCAUGUGACCCAAUCAAAGACAAAGGGUUUAUUUUUCUACGACAUUUGUAGGAGAUGCAUAUGCCCUUCUCUCCACCAGGCUUCAACCUGGAAGAAGGGAAAGCCUAGAUAUGCCAGGGCCCAUGAGGAUAAAUGACCCCCAGUCAAGGAAGCAGAACCAACGAACAGAGAGAAACUGAAUUCUGUGAUAUUCACACCCUGAAUCCACCAUAUCUGAAAUUCAUCCAAACCUUUGGAUGGCGUUUUACGAGACAAUACAUUCUUUUUUUCUUCUUCAACUGUUAAGAGUCCAAACUUUAGGGUCCCCACCUUGUUACUUGCAAUGAAACGGACACAGUGGAAGACAGCUUGGAGUAGGAAAAGGACUGAAGACUGCAGCAGCCAGGUGAACUUCUAUUCGUCCAUCAAGACCCAACCCAAAGAAACCCACUUGAAGCCAGGCGGGAGGGCUCACGCCUGUAAUCCCAGCACUUUGGGAGGCCGAGGCUGGCGGAUCACCUGAGGUCGGGAGUUCAAGACCAGCCUGGCCACUAUGGUGAAACUCCGUUUCUACUAAAAAUAAAAAAAAUAGCCGGGCAUCAUGGUGGGUGCCUGUAGUCCCAGCUACUCGAGAGGCUGAGGCAGGAUAAUCGUUUGAACCCGGGAGGCGGAAGUUGCAGUGAGCUGAGAUUGCACCAUUGCACUCCAGCCUGGGCGACAAAGCGAGACUCCGUCUCAAACAACAACAACAACAAACUACACUCUAGUCUGGGCGACAGAGCAAGACCCUGUCUUAAAAACAAACAAACAAACAAGGAAACCCCAUUUGUAACUGCCACUAAUUGGACUAUACUUCUGGUGGGCCAUCUUCAAGCUUCGGGCUUGAAUAAACCCUAU